This 253-nucleotide ribosomal RNA is filed under the name uncultured bacterium. RNAcentral describes it as "partial 16S ribosomal RNA". It matches the Rfam family "Bacterial small subunit ribosomal RNA", at positions 524 to 776 of the family's 1533-position model. The record is from RNAcentral.
UACGGAGGGGGCAAGCGUUAUUCGGAAUUAUUGGGCGUAAAGGGCGUGUAGGCGGCUUCGUAAGUCCUAUGUGAAAGCCCUCGGCUUAACCGGGGAACUGCAUAGGAAACUGCGGAGCUUGAGUUCGGGAGAGGAGAGUGGAAUUCCCAGUGUAGCGGUGAAAUGCGUAGAUAUUGGGAGGAACACCGGUGGCGAAGGCGGCUCUCUGGACCGAUACUGACGCUGAUACGCGAAAGCUAGGGGAGCAAACGGG